GAAGUUUACAGAGAAGUGAUAAGUGAAAUCAGACCUCUUUUAUGAGGUUCAGCUAACAUCCAGCUUCUCAACAGAUGCCAUGCAAACAAAAGAAA
Molecule: long non-coding RNA, 95 nt
Organism: Suricata suricatta (meerkat)
Lineage: Eukaryota; Metazoa; Chordata; Mammalia; Carnivora; Herpestidae
Exons: 2
Source: RefSeq, a predicted model, not a curated record